AGAAUUUGAUCUUGGUUCAGAUUGAAUGCUGACGGCGUGGAUGAGGCAUGCAAGACGUACGAGGGCGUGAGCUUGCUCAUGCUCUAGUGGCGGAAGGGUUAGUAAUACAUGGAUAAUCUGCCUUUAACUUGGGAACAACGGCUGGAAACGGCCGCUAAUACCUGAUGUGGUGGGCUGAGGCAUCUUGGCUUUAUUAAAGUGGGGGAUCGUAAGACCUUACGGUUAAAGAAGAGUCCAUGGGAUAUCAGCUAGUUGGUGUGGUAAUGGCGCACCAAGGCUUAGACGUCUAGGCGGAUUGAGAGAUUGACCGCCAACACUGGGACUGAGACACUGCCCAGACUCCUACGGGAGGCUGCAGUCGAGAAUCAUUCACAAUGGGCGAAAGCCUGAUGAUGCGACGCCGUGUGAGCGAUGAAGGCCUUCGGGUUGUAAAGCUCUUUCGCUUGGGAACAAGAGAGAUUGGCAAAUAACCAGUCGAUUUGAGGGUACCAGGUAAAGAAGCACCGGCUAACUCCGUGCCAGCAGCUGCGGUAAUACGGAGGGUGCAAGCAUUAAUCGGAUUUACUGGGCGUAAAGGGCGCGUAGGCGGAAAAGAAAGUCAUAUGUGAAAUCCCGAGGCUUAACCUCGGACCCGCAUUUGAAACUCCUUUUCUAGAGGAUAGGCGGAGAAAAUGGAAUUCCACGUGUAGCGGUGAAAUGCGUAGAUAUGUGGAAGAACACCUGUGGCGAAGGCGAUUUUCUAGCUUAUUCCUGACGCUGAGGCGCGAAAGCAAGGGGAGCAAACAGGAUUAGAUACCCUGGUAGUCCUUGCUGUAAACGAUGUAUACUUGAUGUCACUGGUCUCAACCCCAGUGGUGUCGGAGCUAACGCGUUAAGUAUACCGCCUGAGGAGUACGCUCGCAAGAGUGAAACUCAAAAGAAUUGACGGGGGCCCGCACAAGCAGUGGAGCAUGUGGUUUAAUUCGAUGCUACGCGAAGAACCUUACCCAGGAUUGAACUACAGUGGACCGCACCAGAAAUGGUGCUUCUCGUAUGAGGGGCGGUGGGCGUGCCAUCGCUUUCCCGGAGGCCUGUCCUUCAUAGGACGACAGACCUCGCCUUAAGGGAGAAGUGUCGCAUGGGAGUUUUGUCUAAUAUUUGUGUAUUAGAGACCGUUUUUUCCUGUGGUUUAUUUUAUAGAUCUACCCUCAGUGGGUUAGGUAAUCGCUUUUGAAACAGGCUCUUCGCCUGAACUGUCUAAAAACGCGCAUACGUACUCCUUGGUGAUAUGCACGCU
This 1276-nucleotide ribosomal RNA is filed under the name metagenome. RNAcentral's name for it is "bacterial SSU rRNA". It matches the Rfam family "Bacterial small subunit ribosomal RNA", at positions 8 to 1158 of the family's 1533-position model. The record is from RNAcentral.